GAUCUUGGAUGGUCAAGAGGAGAGCAGCGAUGCGCCUUUGGAGGGGCUUGCGUCCCAUCAGGUAGUUGGUGAGGUAACGGCUCACCAAGCCGAUGACGGGUAGCUGGUCUGAGAGGAUGAUCAGCCAGACUGGGACUGAGAGACGGCCCAGACUCCUACGGGGGGCAGCAGGGGGGGAUAUUGGACAAUGGGGGGAACCCUGAUCCAGCGACGCCGCGUGGAGGACGAAGGUCUUCGGAUCGUAAACUCCUUUUGUCGGGGAAGAUGAUGACGGUACCCGGCGAAUAAGCCCCGGCUAACUACGUGCCAGCAGCCGCGGUAAUACGUAGGGGGCGAGCGUUGUCCGGAGUUACUGGGCGUAAAGAGCGCGUAGGCGGCUUUUCGAGUCGGCUGUGAAAUCUCCUGGCCUAACUGGGAGGGGUCGGCCGAGACCGAAGGGCUUGAGGUCGGUAGAGGAAGGUGGAAUUCCCGGUGUAGUGGUGAAAUGCGUAGAGAUCGGGAGGAACACCAGUGGCGAAGGCGGCCUUCUGGGCCGUACCUGACGCUGAGGCGCGAAAGCGUGGGGAGCGAACUGAAUUAGAUACUCAGGUAGUCCACGCCCUAAACGAUGGACGCUAGGUGUCGGGGGUAUCGACCCCCUCGGUGCCGAAGCUAACGCAUUAAGCGUCCCGCCUGGGGAGUACGGCCGCAAGGCUAAAACUCAA
Molecule: ribosomal RNA, 704 nt
Filed under: uncultured archaeon
Lineage: Archaea
Description: bacterial SSU rRNA
Rfam family: Bacterial small subunit ribosomal RNA
Source: RNAcentral